GAAAUGCGAUACUUGGUGUGAAUUGCAGACUGUGAGUCAUUAGAAUUUUGAACGCAUAUGGCACCGCCGGCUUGCCGGUCGGUAUGCUUGCUUCAGUGUGUCUUUAAUCAAUGCACAACAUCUUAAUGCAAGUGAGUCUCAAGCUCUCUUGUGAAAUAUGAAAACACGCUGUUCUACAAGGGGCCUCAAAACCCCGCUCAAUGCAGCCGUCACUUUACGUGAACUCAUUGUGAGUAGGACAGGGCCUAGCCGAGUGUUUAGAGUUCUGAAACUCUUUUUCAUCUGAAGUCAAGUGAGAUUACCCGCUGAGUUUAA
RNAcentral lists this unclassified non-coding RNA (315 nucleotides) under uncultured fungus. Its description in RNAcentral is "sequence contains ITS1". The stretch from base 1 to 101 matches the Rfam family "5.8S ribosomal RNA", at positions 50 to 154 of the family's 154-position model. The record is from RNAcentral. Lineage: Eukaryota; Fungi.